AGCCCCGCCCGGCGGGGGGUCACCGCUCGCCGGAGGAGGGGGACCGGAUCACUCGAGCUCCGGGUAGCGGAGCACGGGCGUCUCUUCGGGCGGGAGGGGCACGUUGGCGCGGCAGAGCGGGCACGUGGCGCGCUCGUACCGGAGCCAGGUCUCGAGGCAGGCGCGGUGGAAGAGGUGGCCGCAGGGGAGGCGGUUCACCACGGCCUUGGCCACGAAACCGGACAGGCACACGCUGCAGUCGUCGCCGUCCGCCUCCGCCGCGCUGCACGUCGUCGACGUCGACACCAGCACCCCGUACAGCGCCGGCCGGAACGCCCUCAGGAACCGGUCCGCCAGGCCCAGGCCGGGCGCUGACGCCACGAGGCGGUCCCCGG
Molecule: long non-coding RNA, 374 nt
Filed under: Sorghum bicolor (sorghum)
Lineage: Eukaryota; Viridiplantae; Streptophyta; Magnoliopsida; Poales; Poaceae
Description: long non-coding RNA (SBIC_LNC003659)
Source: RNAcentral